UACGAAGGGGGCUAGCGUUGUUCGGAAUUACUGGGCGUAAAGCGCACGUAGGCGGCUCGAUCAGUCAGGGGUGAAAUCCCAGGGCUCAACCCUGGAACUGCCUUUGAUACGGUCGAUCUGGAGUAUGGAAGAGGUGAGUGGAAUUCCGAGUGUAGAGGUGAAAUUCGUAGAUAUUCGGAGGAACACCAGUGGCGAAGGCGGCUCACUGGUCCAUUACUGACGCUGAGGUGCGAAAGCGUGGGGAGCAAACAGG
This 253-nucleotide ribosomal RNA is filed under the name uncultured bacterium. Its description in RNAcentral is "partial 16S ribosomal RNA". It matches the Rfam family "Bacterial small subunit ribosomal RNA", at positions 524 to 776 of the family's 1533-position model. The record is from RNAcentral.